CGCGGACGCCGGAGAGCGCGGGAGGCGACCUGUCGCGCCCCCUCCUCCCGGUCCGCGGGGCAGGGGCAGGCGCAGGGCCGGCCGAACUAGGGUGGAAAAGAGGCUUCCCGCCGCUCCGCUCUGCGGACCAUUGUCAACGCCACGGUCGCCGGCGCUGGCUGCAAGAGCCUACUGCAUCCCAGAGAAUAGAGCUGCCCCCUCAAGCCCCUGGGCACCGACGUCCCAGCUUGACCGCUGUUCAGCCCAGCUCUUGUGAUGCAGCACAGAGGGCGACACGAUUCUCAGGAGCCAGAGCCUGGAACAGCUGCCAGGCAAGGCCUCCUUUCAUUGGCUGUUCCCCUCCCGUGGAUAUGAGGGGCUUCUCCGAGCUCGUAGACACUGGCGGCGUCCUUGUGAUCAUCAUCUCGAACAAAGGAGCAACAAGUCCGGAGCAGAGUUGCUGGGAUGAGAUCAGAGCAUGACAUUGCUUGUACCUGUUGAUCAAAAUCAUGGGGUCAGCACAGCAUCUGCUCAGUCCUCUCGAGGCCCAAGCACAGGCUCCGGACGCGCAGGCUCAGCGGCCAUGGCUCACGGGCCCAGCAGCUCGGCGGCACGUGGGAUCUUCCCGGACCGGGGCACGAACCCGUGUCCCCUGCAUCGGUAGGCGGACUCUCAACCACUGCGCCACCAGGGAAGCCCAGUACUAGUUUAUUGAUUGCAUAGUAUUACAUUAUAAGAAUGGAAUAAUUUAUUAAACUAUGACUCUCCUUUUUGGAAUUUAGGUUGUUAACAAAUUUUCACAACAGAAAACAAUGUCGUCAUAGGAAGAUCUUUUGAUGUAUCUGCAGUAGUGCAUUUCUGAAUCUUAAGCAUCAGUCUGGGCUUCCAUAGGAGGUGAUGGACCCUCCUCUUUGGAUUCCAGAGUCCAUCAGCUAGAUGGUUCAAAUCAGAUGGAUCAAAUAGGAUGCCCCUUGAAAGACAAUAUCAACCUCUGAGGGUGUGCUCAAUAAUGUUUAUACAAAGAAGAGAUGCGAGGUCCUUGAUCCCGUUUGUAAAGUGAAGAAUCCUUUGCCAUGGAAAAUAAUCUGUCUCCAAUUUAACCAUUAGAGAAGUUCGGACUUUAACAUAUUUGAUUUUUAUAAAUAAGAGCCCUCUUGUCUGCUGUCCUGCAGGAUACCUGGGAGCUUAGCUCUUAUAUUGGAUCAGGUAAACAAUGGGUGUUAAUCACACUCCUAACCCACACAUAAAUAAAUUGGUGGGAGGCCGUGUUUCUUGUAUUUGUCUAGUUUGCUUCCUGGGAAACAAUGGCUCUCUCCUUUAUCCAGCACUAACUAAUUUCCGGAGUCACUGCUGUUAAUGAUAAUCUGUGCUGUCCACGACACUGUAUGGCUGGCCAACCACUUAUACUUUUACUGCCAGUCUCUCACGAGGACAGGCUAUGAUAAAAAGAAAAUAUCCAGGGAGAUCACUUUUUCUAGCUGUCCUGUUAUUGGUGAAAAAAUACUUCCUUUCCUAUGCUUUCUAAAAUCACACACAGCCUUAUUUUAUUUAAACAUACAGACUUUUUUUUAAAUUUUAACAAAGAUCCUAUUUCAGUGGAUAAAACAUAGUUUAAUCGACUCCUGUUCAUCCCAUUGGAGAGGGAGGGAUUCCUGCCCAAGGGUUCCUGGGAUAGCCAAACAUGACACCAACACUGGACAGGUGAGAUCCACAGCAGUGCAUCCCAGCCCAGGAGAGGACACUGCAUGCCAUGAAGAGCCACCCAGGAGCAAAGUGAACCUGUAGUGUUAAGAGAGUGAGGUGACAUCUGGUUCCUUUGGAGGAUGUGAUUGGCCUGUUUGAGUAAUCUACUGCUGGCAGGGAACUGAAACUCACUACUCCAGGUGAAGUAGGAUCUUCCUUCGGUUUCCUUGAUUUGGAGGCUUACUUGGCUGGGACCUCGUCCAUAGGAGCAGAGUGGGGAGAGGAACUUCCUAUUAGGACAUGCAGGGCCCUCCCAAUCUCACCACAUAUCAAGGCAACAGAGAAUAUUUCAUUUUAAUAAUUAAUUAUUAAAUUAAUGAUUAAAUUUAACUUAAUUUUAAAUCUAACACCAGACAUGUGAACCUCGUGAACCUCUCAUUCUCUUGGUGUAUAAAACCAGAGCAGGUAAAAAGACUUUUUCCCCUACAAGCUACCCAAGGCUAGGACAAGGCAAUACUGUGAGAAAGAAGCAAUUAUUUGGUAUCUUCAGGCAAUGAGACAUUUUAUUUCCUUUCCUGAAAUAUGUAUACCGUUCUACUCCUACCACCUAGCUUCCAGUCAUUGAUUAAGAGGGGAGGGAGAUAAGUUUAUCUGUUUCCCAAUUUAGAUCCCCUCUCAAAACAACAGAAUGAUUCAUAAUUUUCUUAUGUACUCCGUAGCCACUACUUCACAACCUCUCUCCCACCCAUUGUUGAAAAACGAUUUUCUUUUCUUUCAUAUUUCAUGGCACCCUUAUUUAUAUUAUUAAUAUCUAUACUUUGGACAACAUUAUAAAGCCUUGGAAAGUCAGUGCAUGCUCUGUACUUUGCAAAGGUCAUUAUCAGAAGGAUAAGAACAAAGGAGUGGCCUCCACCUGCUCACCUCUGCCACCUUGGAUUUGACGUCAUUAACACCGCUGCCUCUUUGUCAGGCACUGCGGGUGUUGUGAUUGGGAGAGAGAGUGUGCUUCCGUGAACACAGGACGUGCAGGAGGCAUAUUGGAUUCCUUUGCCUUCAGCAUAACAGAGGAGGUGGCCCCAAACACCGUGGGAAGGCUCCUGAUGCUGACCUGGGGGUGAUCCCCUUCUCCCUGGAGCUCCGUGGCCUCUGGGCUUGGCCUCAAACAGGUGUCACAUUGCUGUGUUCCUGUGUCUGGGAGACUCUCUGCCUCCUCUCACUGUGUUCAAACCAACCCCUAGGACUCAGCUCCAGAGGCAGAAGGCACCUGAAAGAGAGUUCCACUUCUAGCAUUUUUCAGAUGGCAAACGAGGCUCAGCAAGGCCAGGGGAUUUCCUCCCGGAUAUAGAGGCAUAGACGCGGUCAAGACCAGGUCUCUGGAUUCCCUUUCUAGUAUGACUUCUAUUAAAGCAGCAUCUUCUCAGGUCUAAGAGUCCUCGUGUAUGUAAAACGAGGGGUAUGCAAGGUGGCUCUAAAGUCCCUUCCAUCUGUGCCUUAUGUACUGAUACGCUAUUAUUGGGUAUGUACUGAUUGUUUCAUUUUAGAAUUCACUGUUCUCAAUGCAUUGACUAGAAUGUUACCAACUGAAAUGAAUCAGGAAGAGGACAUAAUUUUGCUUGGCUCUUUUAAGCUUAAAUUCAAUUUCUGUUUUUUUAAUGGUAAGAAUGUGAGGAAACAAAUGGUAAAUUCACCCACAGUAAAAAAAAAAAGAAAAAGAAAAAGGGGUUCAAAUACACACCUUCAGGUGAUUUGUGCAGAGGAAAAGCACUAUGUUACGUGAUUCUUAAAUAGUUUAUCUAACUAUACCAGGAAAAGUCUCCUUCUGGUGCAGUGGGGCGGGGGAAGGCAGGGAUACGCAGGGAAUGAUGGUGAUAAGCAUUUUCCAAAUUAGGAAAUAGAUAUGCUUUUCUUCUUACUCUCUUACAUAACUGAUCUAUUUUAGAAGACAACACAAAAAAACUGAAAUGAAAUACAAAUCUCAUGAUUUUACUACUUUGUUAGCAAAGACAGAAGUAACGCUGGAAGGGAAAGAGAGGAGAGUUUCACCCCAUCCUAUUCCUCUUGGCCCGGAGGAUUUUU
Molecule: non-coding RNA, 3738 nt
Organism: Globicephala melas (long-finned pilot whale)
Lineage: Eukaryota; Metazoa; Chordata; Mammalia; Artiodactyla; Delphinidae
Source: RefSeq, a predicted model, not a curated record